GACGAACGCUGGCGGCGUGCUUAACACAUGCAAGUCGAACGGAAAGGCCCUGCUUUUGUGGGGUGCUCGAGUGGCGAACGGGUGAGUAACACGUGAGUAACCUGCCCUUGACUUUGGGAUAACUUCAGGAAACUGGGGCUAAUACCGGAUAGGAGCUCCUGCUGCAUGGUGGGGGUUGGAAAGUUUCGGCGGUUGGGGAUGGACUCGCGGCUUAUCAGCUUGUUGGGGGGGUAGUGGCUUACCAAGGCUUUGACGGGUAGCCGGCCUGAGAGGGUGACCGGCCGCAUUGGGACUGAGAUACGGCCCAGACUCCUACGGGAGGCAGCAGUGGGGAAUAUUGCACAAUGGGCGGAAGCCUGAUGCAGCAACGCCGCGUGCGGGAUGACGGCCUUCGGGUUGUAAACCGCUUUCGCCUGGGACGAAGCGUGAGUGACGGUAAUGGGUAAAGAAGCACCGGCGAACUACG
This 466-nucleotide ribosomal RNA is filed under the name uncultured bacterium. Its description in RNAcentral is "partial 16S ribosomal RNA". It matches the Rfam family "Bacterial small subunit ribosomal RNA", at positions 28 to 505 of the family's 1533-position model. The record is from RNAcentral.